Molecule: long non-coding RNA, 2109 nt
Filed under: Sus scrofa (pig)
Lineage: Eukaryota; Metazoa; Chordata; Mammalia; Artiodactyla; Suidae
Description: lncRNA (ENSSSCG00030041876.1)
Source: RNAcentral
GGGGUUCCCUUUUCUCCACACCUUCUCCAGCAUUUGUUUAUUUGUUGAAUUGUUAAUGAUGGCCAUUCUGACCAGUGGUACCUCAUUGUACUUCACUGUAGUUUUGAUUUGCAUUUCUCUAAUAAUUAGUGAUGGUGAGCAUUUUCUCAUAUGUCUGUCGGCCAUCUGUAUAUCUGCUUUGGAGAAAUGUCUAUUCGGGUCUUCUGCCCAUUUUUCAAUUGUUUUUGUUUUGUUUUGUUUGUUUGUUUGUUUUUUGCUAUUGGGUUGUAUAAGUUUUUUGUAUGUUUUAGAGAUUAAGCCCUUGUCAGUUGUACCAUUUGAAACUAUUUUCUCCCAUGCCAUAGGUUGUCAUUUUUUUGUUUGUUUAUUUCCUUUGCUGUGCAAAAGCUUGUAAGUUUGAUUAGGUCCCAUUUGUUUAUUUUUGUUUUUAUUUCUAUUGCCUUGGGAGACUGACCUAAGAAAAGAGUUGUACAGUUGAUAUCAGAGAAGGAAAAAAUUUCUGAAAGAAACCAAAGGGAAAAAAACACCUGCUAUAUAGAGAAUCAAAGAUAAGAAUUAAUCCAACUUCUACACAGAAACCAUGCAAGCAAGAAGAGAAUGGAGUGAAUGUUACAAGUUUUCAGAGAAAAAGCUACCAACCCAGAAGUCUGUACUCUGCAAAAUUAUCCUUGAGAAGUAACAGAGAAAAAGACUUUCUCAGAGAAAAAAAAAAAAAAAAUUGAGGAAAUUUGUUGCCAACAGAACUGCCUUAGAAGAAAAGCUAAAAGAAGUUACAUAAAGAGAAGGAAAUUACCAUGGGUUGGAAACUCAGCUCUGCAUGAAGAAAGGAAGAGCAUCAAAGAAGGAAAAGUCAAGUUCUUGAUGCUGAGAGGUCCCAGAUCAAGGUACCAGCAGAUUCUGUUCCUAGGAGAACUCUCCUCCUGACUUGCAGACAGGCAGCUUGCUGUGUGUUCAGACAUGGAGAGAGGUGAGCUCUGAUUUCUUCCCCUUCUUAAAAGGGCCCUAAUUCCAUCCCAGGAGCCCCAUCCACAUCACCUAAUCUAAACCUAAUUAUCUACCAAAAACUGCUCCUCCAGCUACUGUCAUAUUAGUAGCUAGGGUUUCAAAAUAUGGGUUUGGGGAGGACACAUUCAAUCCAUAGAAAACACCACUGGGUUCUUUUGUGCCAGGUAUUUUCUAUUAAGUGGAGAAAUGGUUGAAAGUUGUCAGUAUGCAUACAACUGGUUUGGGUGCAGAGCCCAAAUGAAUGGUAGCACAGAGAGGUUUGUUUUCUAACCAGCCUCUUAAAUGAGCAUCAGCUAAAAGGGAAAGGAAAUUGAGGUCCCUCGAUAUUAGACCGUGCUUUUGCUGAGGGCAGUGCAGGGUCCUUUAAGGCCACAUUUGGAGACAGCACUAGACCUUUCUUUCCAUCCCUCAUCUGCUCCUCUGGACUCCAAAGCACUGCCUUGCUCCAAAAAGGAAAAUUAAAAACACAAAUUCUCAAGUGGUUUGAUAGUAAUUCAGCCCAGCAAAUUUUACUUUCCAUUAAAAGUCACCAGCUGUCAUGUGCUUCACUUUAAGUGGAAAUAACUUGCUCUCAAAGAACAUUUAUCAAUUGAUGUCACUUAUUAGUCUUAUUUUCUCCUAAUGAAAAAUGGAUUUGCAUUAGUGCGACUUUGGUGACAGGAAACCCCUGGAUGGAGGCUCAACUUGAUGAUCCACCCCCACCCUGGGGAAAGCUAAUUGCUCUACCAGCCAGCUCGGCGGAUUGACACUGCGGUCAGGGGAAGGGACUCUGGGGGAACAGAGCAGAGCAUUGGCGAUAAUGUUCGAUCCUCUUGCGAGGGAAUGAGCUCACAGUGCCUCUUCCCUUAAAAAACAAAUGAAAAAACUGCGAUUAAAAAUGCUGUAGAGCAGUUCUCUUGUGUUUGCAGCAGGUUGAGGAUCUGGCGUUGUCACUGUGGUGGCUCAGGUCACAGCUGGGGGUGGGUUUGUUCCCUGGCCUGGGAACCUCCACAUGCCGUGGGCACAACAACAACAACAACAAAAUCCUAUAUAGCACAGGGAACGCUAUUCAAUAUCCCGUGAUAACCUGUAUGGGAAAAGGAUCUGAAAAAAAAAAAAAAAAAA